GACGGAGGAUGCAAGUGUUAUCCGGAAUCACUGGGCGUAAAGCGUCUGUAGGUGGUUCGAAAAGUCCACUGUUAAAAAAUUUGAGGCUUAACUUCAAAGAUGCCGUGGAAACUUUCAAACUAGAGUAUGGUAGGGGUAGAGGGAAUUUCCAGUGGAGCGGUGAAAUGCGUAGAUAUUGGAAAGACCACCGAUGGCGAAGGCACUCUACUGGGCCACUACUGACACUGAGAGACGAAAGCUAGGGGAGCAAAUGGG
RNAcentral lists this ribosomal RNA (255 nucleotides) under uncultured bacterium. RNAcentral describes it as "partial 16S ribosomal RNA". It matches the Rfam family "Bacterial small subunit ribosomal RNA", at positions 524 to 776 of the family's 1533-position model. The record is from RNAcentral.